CCUACGGGGGGCAGCAGUGGGGAAUAGUGCACAAUGGGGGAAACCCUGAUUCAGCGACGCCGCGUGAGUGAAGAAGUAUUUCGGUAUGUAAAGCUCUAUCAGCAGGGAAGAAAAUGACGGUACCUGAGUAAGAAGCCCCGGCUAACUACGUGCCAGCAGCCGCGGUAAUACGUCGGGGGCAAGCGUUAUCCGGAUUUACUGGGUGUAAAGGGAGCGUAGACGGCAGCACAAGUCUGGAGUGAAAUGCCGGGGCUUAACCCCGGAACUGCUUUGGAAACUGUGCAGCUAGAGUGCAGGAGAGGUAAGUGGACUUCCUAGUGUAGCGGUGAAAUGCGUCGAUAUUAGGAGGAACACCAGUGGCGAAGGCGGCUUACUGGACUGUAACUGACGUUGAGGCUCGAAAGCGUGGGGAGCAAACAGGAUUAGAUACCCCAGUAGUC
This 440-nucleotide ribosomal RNA is filed under the name uncultured bacterium. RNAcentral describes it as "partial 16S ribosomal RNA". It matches the Rfam family "Bacterial small subunit ribosomal RNA", at positions 338 to 795 of the family's 1533-position model. The record is from RNAcentral.